UUUGCUUCUUGAUCUUUUGGCCAAGGUCCAGUGUAGUAUCUGUUCUAACCAUUUAAUAUUGAUACAUCCUCUAUUUGAGGACAAUAUAUUAAAUGGACUUUUGGAGCACAGAGAUUAGGAGCUGCUCUGUCCUCUCCAGGCACAGACCUGGUGUUGCAGUAUCUUCAGAAAUGGUGCACGCCUU
Molecule: small nuclear RNA, 184 nt
Filed under: Sciurus vulgaris (Eurasian red squirrel)
Lineage: Eukaryota; Metazoa; Chordata; Mammalia; Rodentia; Sciuridae
Description: U2 spliceosomal RNA (ENSSVLG00005002508.1)
Rfam family: U2 spliceosomal RNA
About the family: U2 is a small nuclear RNA (snRNA) component of the spliceosome (involved in pre-mRNA splicing).
Source: Rfam by way of RNAcentral